UUUGAGAGAAAUUGAAAUGUAUUUUCUGGUAUUAUCCCUCUCUCACCCGAACCCUCUCCCUCUCUUACCCUCUUGAUGUAUUUCAACUUGAGUUGUGAAAAUUGGAGCUUGAUUUGAAGCUUGUGGGUUGAAAGAAAGGUGUUGAAGGCUUGAGGCUUAAUUGUGCAAGUGUUUGAGGAUUACCGGCACCUGAUCAGGAGCACCCGGGGAUUCGGAAUCUCCUUCUAUAGCUGGACAACAGGAAAGGGUAAGGCAUUAGCUGAUCAGCCAUGAGUUUCAGGAGCAGACGAAGAAUGUACAUGUUCACGCCACUUCAGACCAAGCGGGUUAUGGGUCUAACAGUGUUGACUUUUGUAUUCUGUUUUGCCGCUUAGGUCGGCUAGUAAGAAAGAACUUGUAAUAAGUUUGUAAAUAUUUUUGGGAUCCCAACUAUUUUGAAAAGUUUAAAUAUAUUACAAGUUUAUUUUCAGUCUGUUUAAUAUAAAAGUUUAAAUUCUGCGCUAUUUUAAUUAGUAAUCCCGAUUAGGGGAUUAGGGUUUCGUAAGCAUUUUGGGUAGCGUGCCUAAUUAUUUAGGGCGUUACAGCUUGCUAUCUUGGAAAGCAUCAUAAACUUCAUUUUUCUAUCUCAGAAACAGUUUAUACAACCCCACUUAAACUCUUACAUACUGAUCUAUGGGGCUCUACCCCUAUAGACUCUUUCAAUGGCUAUAUAUAUUAUUACAUAAGCUUUGUUGAUGCUUAUUACGCAUGGAUUUAUCUUUUUAGGUACACAUAGAUUUAUGUUCUUAAAAUAAAAGAUGAGGCUCUUCCUACUUUUAAAAAGUUCAAAACACAAAUUGCACUUCAACUUAAUU
Molecule: long non-coding RNA, 854 nt
Organism: Cannabis sativa
Lineage: Eukaryota; Viridiplantae; Streptophyta; Magnoliopsida; Rosales; Cannabaceae
Exons: 3
Source: RefSeq, a predicted model, not a curated record